RNAcentral lists this ribosomal RNA (478 nucleotides) under uncultured bacterium. RNAcentral describes it as "partial 16S ribosomal RNA". It matches the Rfam family "Bacterial small subunit ribosomal RNA", at positions 28 to 523 of the family's 1533-position model. The record is from RNAcentral.
GGCGAACGCUGGCGGCGUGCUUAACACAUGCAAGUCGAACGGUAAGGCCCUUCGGGGUACACGAGUGGCGAACGGGUGAGUAACACGUGGGUGAUCUGCCCUGCACUUCGGGAUAAGCCUGGGAAACUGGGUCUAAUACCGGAUAGGACCACUGCCUGCAUGGGUGGUGGUGGAAAGCUUUUGCGGUGUGGGAUGGGCCCGCGGCCUAUCAGCUUGUUGGUGGGGUGAUGGCCUACCAAGGCGACGACGGGUAGCCGGCCUGAGAGGGUGACCGGCCACACUGGGACUGAGAUACGACCCUGACUCCUACGGGAGGCAGCAGUGGGGAAUAUUGCACAAUGGGCGCAAGCCUGAUGCAGCGACGCCGCGUGAGGGAUGACGGCCUUCGGGUUGUAAACCUCUUUCAGCACCGACGAAGCGCAAGUGACGGUAGGUGCAGAAGAAGGACCGGCCAACUACGUGCCAGCCGCCGCGGUAA